This 113-nucleotide small RNA is filed under the name Tepidicaulis marinus. RNAcentral's name for it is "EcpR1". It matches the Rfam family "EcpR1". Rfam says of the family: Perviously named SmelC291, SmrC10, or Sra33. According to its overproduction phenotype it was renamed Elongated Cell Phenotype RNA1. The record is from Rfam by way of RNAcentral. Lineage: Bacteria; Pseudomonadati; Pseudomonadota; Alphaproteobacteria; Hyphomicrobiales; Parvibaculaceae.
GGUCCUUGCGAUGUCCGGGUCCGCCGCAUCUCCCGGGCGCGCGAGGAAGGCCGGUCGGCACGUGGUUAGGAGUGGCCUCCUCUGUUACGCCGCGAAUUCCGAUUGGCCGCCGU